RNAcentral lists this ribosomal RNA (433 nucleotides) under uncultured bacterium. RNAcentral's name for it is "partial 16S ribosomal RNA". It matches the Rfam family "Bacterial small subunit ribosomal RNA", at positions 29 to 507 of the family's 1533-position model. The record is from RNAcentral.
AACGAACGCUGGCGGCAUGCCUAACACGUGCAAGUCGAACGAGUCCUUCGGGUCUAGUGGCGCACGGGUGCGUAACGCGUGGGAACCUGCCCUUAGGUUCGGAAUAACUCCCCGAAAGGGGUGCUAAUACCGGAUAAUGUCUUCGGACCAAAGAUUUAUCGCCUUUGGAUGGGCCCGCGUUGGAUUAGCUAGUUGGUAGGGUAAAAGCCUACCAAGGCGACGAUCCAUAGCUGGUCUGAGAGGAUGAUCAGCCACACUGGGACUGAGACACGGCCCAGACUCCUACGGGAGGCAGCAGUGGGGAAUAUUGGACAAUGGGCGAAAGCCUGAUCCAGCAAUGCCGCGUGAGUGAUGAAGGCCUUAGGGUUGUAAAGCUCUUUUACCCGGGAUGAUAAUGACAGUACCGGGAGAAUAAGCUCCGGCUAACUCCGUG